Molecule: long non-coding RNA, 318 nt
Filed under: Solanum tuberosum (potato)
Lineage: Eukaryota; Viridiplantae; Streptophyta; Magnoliopsida; Solanales; Solanaceae
Description: long non-coding RNA (STUB_LNC005490)
Source: RNAcentral
UAUGUGAUUUCUGGGAUAGCAAAAGUUGGCUAUUAAGCUAAGUAUUGUGUCUACAACACAUUUGAAAUGAUAGAUCAAGAAAAGCUUUGUUUUUUUGAAGCUCCCAAAUGUAGUUAUGUGUCAUUAUUCAUUGUGGAGAAACUAGAAACUAUUGCCUCACGAAGGGUAAGAGCAUGUAAAUGAGCUACCGUAGUUGGAAAGGGAUUGUCAAAGAAUGAAGAGGCGCAAGAAUUGGCUUUGCAACAUUUGCUUAAGGCUGUAACCUCUUGAUUUUAUUUUUUUUGAUAUCUUUCAUUCUUAAUAACAGUAGAUUUCUUA